CUGUCAGUAUCGGUCUUUCAUACGAGUUGUGUUCAGCCUAAUUUUUUUCCUAAAAAAAGUUGGAUACCAACAGUUUAUUUGACACUGCAGCAUAAAUAUGUUGCUGGCAAAACAGCAGUCAAAGCAGGCAGUGACCUUGGCUACCACUAGCUAGCUAUCAGAGGGCUCCAAAAGAGAGGGUUGCGAAAAUGUUAACGACAUGGAAAUUGUGUGUGAUUGCCUAUAGCAGGAUGAAGAUCCUCCUUUGCCUGGGAAGAAACCAUUUCCUUUCACCAAGCUUUUUAAGUGGGAGUAAUAUUAAUUCACCUCUGCAAAGUGCUAUGAAUUCUUUAGAUGGAAGAAGUGCUGUGUAUGUUGAACCCUGAACUCAAUUUUGGCAGAUUCCUCCAGCAAGAAAAAAACAUUGAAUUUCAAGAGCAGACAGUGAGACCAUACACCCUGCCUAAUUACCCCUAGGAAACAGAGCUCAGCCUUGGAGUAACAUAUAAUGAAUACUUAUCAGAAAAUGUACCUAGUAAACUCACCAGAGUUCGAAAGAACUGAAUAUAUAUAAGAAAUGAGUAAUUAAUAUUUUUAUUGUUGGUGGCUGCAACCAGGAUCAUGUUCAAAUGAGAUAUCAGCAGUUGUGCUAAAUUUUCCAUACUUUUUUACUACAAAUAGCAAGCUACUCUUGUAUCCUUUGGAUUUUUCUUUUUCUGGAAAAAUAUUUAGAUCUAAACCGCAUUAAACUUUCUUUUGGUUUGAAAUGCCUCUACUGAUAUUAGUUAUUGUUUUGGUCAGUCAUCAGUGUGAAGGACCUAGAAAUGUAGGAAUAUAAAGAAACUUUAGAAAGCAAAAGGUGUGCAGCAAUGAUCUGAAAACCAAAUUAACAAUUUUACAGGAGUACCAUUAACUUAAUCAUAAAAAUAUUAUUUAAAUUGGAAAAUAAAAAAAAAAAAACAAAACAAACCAAAAACAAACAAAAAAAGUUCCUAAAAUUCUGGGAAAAUAAAGUAUCUUUCUUGGUAGAUUGGUUUACUUGGUGAAAGACCUUUGCCUACCUGGCAUAGCUGCUUUGCAAAGUUCAUAAUAGACUUUCAGACAAUAGGACAGAUUUUCUAAUAUGAAGAGUUAAUUUUAACAAGGAAUUGACUAUUUUUCUAACUUUCGUUUCAUUCCAUAAAUUUAGAAACUAGAAAAUUCUAAAAGUUCUGUUCAUAUAAGAUUGCAAGACUGUGAGUUGUAGGGCUCCAUUCUGUG
This 1239-nucleotide long non-coding RNA is filed under the name Taeniopygia guttata (zebra finch). Its description in RNAcentral is "lncRNA (ENSTGUG00000023066.1)". Lineage: Eukaryota; Metazoa; Chordata; Aves; Passeriformes; Estrildidae. The record is from RNAcentral.